UACGUAGGGUGCGAGCGUUGUCCGGAUUUAUUGGGCGUAAAGAGCUCGUAGGCGGCUUGUUGCGUCGAAUGUGAAAACCCGGGGCUCAACCCCGGGCCUGCAUUCGAUACGGGCAGACUAGAGUUCGGUAGGGGAGUCUGGAAUUCCUGGUGUAGCGGUGAAAUGCGCAGAUAUCAGGAGGAACACCGGUGGCGAAGGCGGGACUCUGGGCCGAUACUGACGCUGAGGAGCGAAAGCGUGGGGAGCAAACAGG
Molecule: ribosomal RNA, 253 nt
Filed under: uncultured bacterium
Lineage: Bacteria
Description: partial 16S ribosomal RNA
Rfam family: Bacterial small subunit ribosomal RNA
Source: RNAcentral